Molecule: ribosomal RNA, 552 nt
Filed under: uncultured archaeon
Lineage: Archaea
Description: bacterial SSU rRNA
Rfam family: Archaeal small subunit ribosomal RNA
Source: RNAcentral
CGGGGUGCACCAGGCGCGAAACCUUUACAAUGCUGGCAACAGCGAUAGGGGGACCUCGAGUGCCAGGUUACAAAUCUGGCUGUCGUUGUGUCUAAAAAACACGAUAUAGCAAGGGCCGGGCAAGACCGGUGCCAGCCGCCGCGGUAACACCGGCGGCUCGAGUGGUAACCGUUAUUAUUGGGUUUAAAGGGUCUGUAGCCGGCCUGGUUAGUCCUUUGGGAAAUCCGGCAGCUCAACUGUCGGGCUUUCAGAGGAUACUGCCAGGCUCGAGACCGGGAGAGGUAAGAGGUACUUCAGGGGUAGGGGUGAAAUCUUGUAAUCCUUGAAGGACCACCAGUGGCGAAGGCGUCUUACCAGAACGGAUCUGACGGCAAGGGACGAAAGCUAGGGGCACGAACCGGAUUAGAUACCCGGGUAGUCCUAGCCGUAAAUGAUACUCGCUAGGUGUCGGCCACGGUGCGACCGUGGUCGGUGCCGUAGGGAAACCGUGAAGCGAGCCACCUGGGAAGUACGGCCGCAAGGCUGAAACUUAAAGGAAUCGGCGGGCGAGCA